This 215-nucleotide long non-coding RNA is filed under the name Varanus komodoensis (Komodo dragon). RNAcentral describes it as "lncRNA (ENSVKKG00000008933.1)". The record is from RNAcentral. Lineage: Eukaryota; Metazoa; Chordata; Lepidosauria; Squamata; Varanidae.
CGAGGACAAAUUCGGGCACAACGAGUUCAUCGGGGAGACGAGGGUGGCUCUGAAGAAGCUGAAGGCCAACCAGAAGAAGAACUUCAACAUCUGCCUGGAAAGGGUCAUCCCGAUGAAGCGGACCGGCACGACCGGAUCCUCCCGCGGGAUGGCCCUGUACGAGGACGAGAUGGGCCAGGCCGGCGACGUGGAGGAGCGGGGGAAGAUUCUGGUGU